GGCCCCGCCCACGUCAUGGCGCCUGAGGAGAACGCGGGUACCAAACUCUUGCUGCAGAGUUUCGAGCGCCGCUUCCUAGCGGCGCGCACACUGCGCUCCUUCCCCUGGCAGGUGGGCGGCGGGGCGAGCGGAGAGGCCUGCGGGGCUUGCGGAAGUCCAGGGGCAGACGGGAUGGGUCUCCCUGCUGAAACCCCCGGCGCUCCUGCCACGCCCUCCCAUCCAGGUUGCCCUACCAAGUGAAAUUUUUUUUAGAGACAAGGUCUCUUGCCCAGGCUGUCCUCGAACUCCUGGGCUCAAGCAGUCCUCCCGUGUCAGCCUCUAGAUUAGCUGGGACUAUUCGGCACACACCACCACACCCAACGAACACGAGGCUGUCCACACGGAGCUUUUGGACGAGCUGUACGAGGCGCUGGCAGAGACCCUGAUGGCCAAGGAGUCCACCCAGGGCCACUGGAGCUAUUUGCUGCCCUCGGAAGGCUCGGUCACACUCUCCGAGCACAGCCAUCAUCUCCCACGGUACCACAGGCCUGGUCACAUGGGACGCUGCCCGCUACCUUGCAGAAUGGGCCAUCAAGAACCUGGCAGCCUUCACUAACAGGUGACCUCGGGGCACAGGGCAGCCGCCAUCUACCUUGCAGAAUGGGUCAUUGAGAACCUGGCAGCCUUCACUAACAGGACUGUCCUAGAGCUUGGCAGUGGCGCCGGCCUUACAGGCCUGUCCAUCUGCAAGAUGUGCCACCCCCGGACAUACAUCUUCAGCGACUGUCACAGCCGGGUCCUCGAGCAGCUCCGAGGGAAUGUCCUUCUCAAUGGCCUCUCAUUAGAGGCAGACAUCACUGCCAACUUAGAUAGCCCCAGGGUGACAGUGGCCCAGCUGGACUGGGAUGUAGCGACGGUCCAUCAGCUCUCUGCCUUCCAGCCAGAUGUUGUCAUUACAGCAGACGUGCUGUAUUGCCCAGAAGCCAUCGUGUCCCUGGUCGGGGUCCUGCGGAGGCUGGCUGCCUGCUGGGAGCACCAGCGGGCUCCUGAGGUCUACAUGGCCUUUACCGUCCGCAACCCAGAGACGUGCCAGGUGUUCACCACCGAGCUAGGCUGGGCUGGGAUCAGAUGGGAAGCGGAAGCUCAUCAUGACCAGAAACUGUUUCCCUAUGGAGAGCACUUGGAGAUGGCAAUGCUGAACCUCACACUGUAGGACUCAUACACGACUCCAACGGGAUUGUUAGAAUCAAAUCACUCUCGUGGGAAGAAUUUUUAUAUGGGAAAGCGGAUAAAACUUUCAUUGGACUGGAAUGUUUGGAGAAUGUUAAAUUCCAAAUCAGGAACCACAAUCUGCCCUCUAAUAAGACAUCGGCUAUCUAAGCAUGUGGGUGCCCCCUUUCUGCCAGCAGUUCUGGUUCUUAAGAAAAUCACCAUAAAUCAGACAUGAAAAUUCUGGCUCCAAAAAUAGCAUUUUCUUUGUGCAAAUAAAAACGUGUGUAUCAAGUA
This 1485-nucleotide long non-coding RNA is filed under the name Homo sapiens (human). RNAcentral describes it as "novel transcript". Lineage: Eukaryota; Metazoa; Chordata; Mammalia; Primates; Hominidae. The record is from RNAcentral.